AGAGUUUGAUCCUGGCUCAGAGCGAACGCUGGCGGCAGGCCUAACACAUGCAAGUCGAACGCACCCUUCGGGGUGAGUGGCGGACGGGUGAGUAACACGUGGGAACGUGCCUUUUGGUUCGGAAUAACUCAGGGAAACUUGUGCUAAUACCGAAUGUGCCCUUCGGGGGAAAAGAUUUAUCGCCAAAAGAGCGGCCCGCGUCUGAUUAGCUUGUUGGUGGGGUAAAGGCCCACCAAGGCUACGAUCAGUAGCUGGUCUGAGAGGAUGAUCAGCCACAUUGGGACUGAGACACGGCCCAAACUCCUACGGGAGGCAGCAGUGGGGAAUCUUGCGCAAUGGGCGAAAGCCUGACGCAGCCAUGCCGCGUGGAUGAUGAAGGUCUUAGGAUUGUAAAAUCCUUUCACCGGGGACGAUAAUGACGGUACCCGGAGAAGAAGCG
Molecule: ribosomal RNA, 439 nt
Filed under: uncultured bacterium
Lineage: Bacteria
Description: bacterial SSU rRNA
Rfam family: Bacterial small subunit ribosomal RNA
Source: RNAcentral